This 253-nucleotide ribosomal RNA is filed under the name uncultured bacterium. RNAcentral's name for it is "partial 16S ribosomal RNA". It matches the Rfam family "Bacterial small subunit ribosomal RNA", at positions 524 to 776 of the family's 1533-position model. The record is from RNAcentral.
UACGAAGGGGGCUAGCGUUGCUCGGAAUCACUGGGCGUAAAGGGUGCGUAGGCGGGUCUUUAAGUCAGGGGUGAAAUCCUGGAGCUCAACUCCAGAACUGCCUUUGAUACUGAAGAUCUUGAGUUCGGGAGAGGUGAGUGGAACUGCGAGUGUAGAGGUGAAAUUCGUAGAUAUUCGCAAGAACACCAGUGGCGAAGGCGGCUCACUGGCCCGAUACUGACGCUGAGGCACGAAAGCGUAGGGAGCAAACAGG